AGCAGCCGCGGUAAUUCCAGCUCCAAUAGCGUAUAUUAAAGUUGUUGCAGUUAAAAAGCUCGUAGUUGAAUUUCGGGAUUAGUACGUUGGUCGUGCCUUCGGUACGUACUGGUGUUACUGGUUCCUACCUUCUGACGAACCAUCAUGUCAUUAAUUUGGUGUGGUGGGGAUCAGGACUGUUACUUUGAAAAAAUUAGAGUGUUUAAAGCAGGCUCGCGCUUGAAUACAUUAGCAUGGAAUAAUGAAAUAGGACGUUGACCCUAUUUUGUUGGUUUCUAGGAUUGACGUAAUGAUUAAUAGGGAUAGUUGGGGGCAUUAGUAUUCAAUUGUCAGAGGUGAAAUUCUUGGAUUUAUUGAAGACUAACUACUGCGAAAGCAUUUGCCAAGGAUGUUUUCAUUAAUCAAGAACGAAAGUUAGGGGAUCGAAGACGAUCAGAUACCGUCGUAGUCUUAACCAUAAACUAUGCCGACUAGGGAUCGGAUGAUGUUAUUUUUAAUGACUCACUCGGCGCCUUACG
RNAcentral lists this ribosomal RNA (518 nucleotides) under uncultured Glomeraceae. RNAcentral describes it as "SSU rRNA". It matches the Rfam family "Eukaryotic small subunit ribosomal RNA", at positions 569 to 1092 of the family's 1831-position model. Lineage: Eukaryota; Fungi; Glomeromycota; Glomeromycetes; Glomerales; Glomeraceae. The record is from RNAcentral.